UACGUAGGGACCAAGCGUUGUUCGGAUUUACUGGGCGUAAAGGGCGCGUAGGCGGCAAUUCAAGUCAUCUGUGAAAUCUCCGGGCUUAACUCGGAACGGUCAGAUGAUACUGCUUUGCUAGAGUGCGGAAGGGGCAAUCGGAAUUCUCGGUGUAGCGGUGAAAUGCGUAGAUAUCGAGAGGAACACCAGAGGUGAAGACGGGUUGCUGGGCCGACACUGACGCUGAAGCGCGAAAGCCAGGGGAGCAAACGGG
This 253-nucleotide ribosomal RNA is filed under the name uncultured bacterium. Its description in RNAcentral is "partial 16S ribosomal RNA". It matches the Rfam family "Bacterial small subunit ribosomal RNA", at positions 524 to 776 of the family's 1533-position model. The record is from RNAcentral.